This 503-nucleotide ribosomal RNA is filed under the name uncultured bacterium. RNAcentral describes it as "partial 16S ribosomal RNA". It matches the Rfam family "Bacterial small subunit ribosomal RNA", at positions 30 to 523 of the family's 1533-position model. The record is from RNAcentral.
AUUGAACGCUGGCGGCAGGCUUAACGCAUGCAAGUCGAGCGGAGUGAUGGUGCUUGCACUAUCACUUAGCGGCGGACGGGUGAGUAAUGCUUAGGAAUCUGCCUAUUAGUGGGGGACAACAUCUCGAAAGGGAUGCUAAUACCGCAUACGUCCUACGGGAGAAAGCAGGGGAUCACUUGUGACCUUGCGCUAAUAGAUGAGCCUAAGGCGGAUUAGCUAGGUGGUGGGGUAAAGGCCUACCGAGGCGACGAUCUGUAGCGGGUCUGAGAGGAUGAUGCGCCACACUAGGACUGAGACACGGCCCAGACUCCUACGGGAGGAAGCAGUGGGGAAUAUUGGACAAUGUGGGGAACCCUGAUCGAGGCAUGCCGCGUGUGUGAAGAAGGCCUUAUGGUUGUAAAGCACUUUAAGCGAGGAGGAGGCUCUUUUGGUUAAUACCCAAGAUGAGUGGACGUUACUCGCAGAAUAAGCACCGGCUAACUCUGUGCCAGCAGCCGCCGUAA